AACGAACGCUGGCGGCGCGUCUUAACCAUGCAAGUCGAGCGGCAGGCAGCAAUGCCGAGAGCGGCGGACUGGUGAGUAACACGUGGAUAACGUACCCCGAUGUCCGGGACAGCCUGUAGAAAUAGAGGGUAAUACCGGAUAGAUCACUGUUUACGUGAGGUAGACAGCGGGAAAGGAGCUUCGGCUCCGCGACGGGAUCGGUCUGCGGCCCAUCAGCUGGACGGCGGGGUAAAGGCCCGCCGUGGCGAGGACGGGUAUCCGGCCUGAGAGGGCGGACGGACACAUUGGGACUGAGAUACGGCCCAGACUCCUACGGGAGGCAGCAGGUAAGAAUAUUCCGCAAUGGGGGGAGCCCUGACGGAGCGACGCCGCGUGAACGAAGAAGGCCGGAAGGUUGUAAAGUUCUUUUCUGGCCGAGGAAUAAGUUUCGGAGGAAAUGCCGGGACGGUGACGGUAGGGCAGGAAUAAGCACCGGCUAAUUACGUG
This 486-nucleotide ribosomal RNA is filed under the name uncultured bacterium. RNAcentral describes it as "partial 16S ribosomal RNA". It matches the Rfam family "Bacterial small subunit ribosomal RNA", at positions 29 to 507 of the family's 1533-position model. The record is from RNAcentral.